RNAcentral lists this ribosomal RNA (253 nucleotides) under uncultured bacterium. RNAcentral describes it as "partial 16S ribosomal RNA". It matches the Rfam family "Bacterial small subunit ribosomal RNA", at positions 524 to 776 of the family's 1533-position model. The record is from RNAcentral.
UACGUAGGGUGCGAGCGUUAAUCGGAAUUACUGGGCGUAAAGCGUGCGCAGGCGGUCUCGCAAGUCCGAUGUGAAAUCCCCGGGCUCAACCUGGGAACUGCGUUGGAAACUACGAGGCUGGAGUACGGCAGAGGGGGGUGGAAUUCCACGUGUAGCAGUGAAAUGCGUAGAUAUGUGGAGGAACACCGAUGGCGAAGGCAGCCCCCUGGGCUAGUACUGACGCUCAUGCACGAAAGCGUGGGGAGCGAACAGG